UUUAUCCAUGGACCCCGCAGACAGGCCAUCACUGGAAGACCUUUUUGAGCAUUCUUGGCUGCAGGAGCCCUGCCUGGCCCAGGAGACAGCAGAGAUCCAUCCCUGUGCUCAGUAGGAUCCAGGAGCCCAGCAAGUACCAGCUGCACGCGUCUGGUGGCACUCCAAGAAAACCCCGGAGCGUUUCCCUGUGGCCCCGGCACGGAGGAGAGAGCGCAGCCGAGGAGAUGCUUCCGCUGGUCCCCGGCGAGUUGUGGAGGGAGCGGCUCAGUGCUCCCCGUGCCACUGGAGAAGUGGUGGCAGUGCGGUGAAGGUGCCACGGACUGGAACAGGGGAAACAUCCCCCUGCAGCUCAAUGGCAUCGGGAUGUCCCCGCAAGCCGAGGCACAGCUGGCGUGUUCUUCUGGAGCACCACGUGGAGCUGGGAACACCAUCCUGGAGCUGGCCGCUGGCGGGGCAAAGCCGAGCGGCUUUGGCUGCGGCCCCUUCCUGGAGGACACGCUCUGCGCCCCGAUGAAAUCAAGAUGAGUCCCCAGCCGGCGCAGGGGCGGGGGGAUGCUCGUGCUUCCAGGCAUGGCAGGGCUCGGCCUGGCCAUGCGCCGCAGGUUCCCUGCUCGGCGGCGCUGGGGAAUAUUGAUUUAUUCCCCCGGCUGCCGAGCUGCUUUUUGGUGGGACAGGGGACGGAUGUUGUGGAAGGGGAGCCGGCUCCUGGCCUUGCUGACAGCUUCUGCCAGCCAGCCUGGCACGGGCUGGGGCGGGGGCAGCCAGCCUGACAAAGCAUCCAUCCAUGUGGAUGGGGGCAGCAGAGGGGGACGGGUUCCGAAGCCGUGCCCCAGCUGGUCUGCUUUGCAGGCCCUCGAGGAAGGGGUGCGUUUACGGGUGGGAAAGGUGGGGUUUUUCCCCACCCAUGGACAGGUUUCAUUCUCGCAUGGAGUGGUCAGACCCUCCUCAGGCCCGUGAAACGGUGACAGGCUGUGUAGGUUUUUCUUCUUUCCAGGUCUUGUUUUGAAUUGACUUUCAUGCAAUUGUUCUUUGUUUUUCCCAGGAAGAUUACACCUGGUGCCCGGACUGCAUGGGGAAGCGCCUGCACCGUCCGUGGAGCACAUCCAGUGCCAGCGCUACCCCAGGGGCCACGGCCUGUGGGGACAUCCCCUUCAAGAAGGACGAGGACCUCGUGCGGGAUCAGCUCCUCUCCUGGCAGCAGGUCUGCAGAGGCUGCCAGCACCUCAUGCCAUGGAAACGGCUCCGCUCGGCCUGCCAGGCUGGGAGGGCUGGAGGGCGGCGGGUGUUCAUUUGCUGUCAAAAAGAAAUCAUUCUAUUUUUUUGUCAUCGUCAUGAUCAGAGCAUUUCUUUCAUCCUUUUCCAAGCUUUUGGCCUCCCUUCCUCCAGGGCUUCAGCAGCUCGCUCAGCUCAGAGGAGCUCUCAGAGGAGAAAACGCUGCCUGGCGUGGGGCUGGCUGAUCCCUGUCUCAUCUUGAUUCCAUUUCCCCGCUCCCUCCCCCAUCCAAGAGAGCGAAGGAUCCCCCACAACCGGUCACGAUCCACUCUUGCGGGGUGUUUGUGAUGGUUUGUUAACCGAUCCCAAAAGUGCAAAACUGCAAAUGGCAAGGGACCAUCACUUGAAUCACAACAAAUGCAUCUUUAUUUAGGUACCAACAGCAAAUGCGAUAGAAGGGACAGAAAAGGGAAAUAGAGAGAAAAGAGAGGAAGGGGAAUAGAGCUACCACCGUCGAGACGAGAUCCUCGAUGGUCCAGCCAUCA
Molecule: long non-coding RNA, 1757 nt
Organism: Vidua chalybeata
Lineage: Eukaryota; Metazoa; Chordata; Aves; Passeriformes; Viduidae
Exons: 3
Source: RefSeq, a predicted model, not a curated record